AUUGAACGCUGGCGGCAGGCCUAACACAUGCAAGUCGAGCGGAGCGGCGGACGGGUGAGUAAUGCCUAGGAAUCUGCCUGGUAGUGGGGGAUAACGUCCGGAAACGUGCGCUAAUACCGCAUACUAUCAGAUCAGCCUAGGUCGGAUUAGCUAGUUGGUGGGGGAAAGGCCUAACAAGGCGACGAUCCGUAACUGGUCUGAGAGGAUGAUCCGGCACACUGGAACUGAGACACGGUCCCGACUCCUACGGGAGGCAGCAUUGGGGAAUAUUGGACAAUUGGCGAAAGCCUGAUCCAGCCAUGCCGCGUGUGUGAAGAAGGUCUUCGGGUUGGAAAGCACUUUCAGCGGGGAGGCGUUACCCGCAGAAGAAGCACCGGCUAACUCCGUGCCAGCCGCCGCGGUAAUUC
RNAcentral lists this ribosomal RNA (407 nucleotides) under uncultured bacterium. RNAcentral's name for it is "partial 16S ribosomal RNA". It matches the Rfam family "Bacterial small subunit ribosomal RNA", at positions 30 to 526 of the family's 1533-position model. The record is from RNAcentral.